This 104-nucleotide transfer RNA is filed under the name Prochlorococcus marinus str. MIT 9313. RNAcentral's name for it is "tRNA-Und (NNN) (tRNA-Und-NNN-2-1)". Lineage: Bacteria; Bacillati; Cyanobacteriota; Cyanophyceae; Synechococcales; Prochlorococcaceae. The record is from RNAcentral.
GGCGGGAACCCAUAAUUUCGGCCUUCUGAUACCAAUGGAUCUGACCAUACUUCUUCGUGCUCAUAACCCGAAGGUCGGGAGUUCAAAUCUCCCCCCCGCUACCA